UACGGAGGGUGCAAGCGUUUAUCCGGAUUCACUGGGUUUAAAGGGUGCGUAGGUGGGCAGGUAAGUCCGUGGUGAAAUCUCUGAGCUUAACUCAGAAACUGCCGUGGAUACUAUUUGUCUUGAAUAUUGUGGAGGUGAGCGGAAUAUGUCAUGUAGCGGUGAAAUGCUUAGAUAUGACAUAGAACACCAAUUGCGAAGGCAGCUCACUACACAAUUAUUGACGCUGAGGCACGAAAGCGUGGGGAUCAAACAGG
Molecule: ribosomal RNA, 254 nt
Filed under: uncultured bacterium
Lineage: Bacteria
Description: partial 16S ribosomal RNA
Rfam family: Bacterial small subunit ribosomal RNA
Source: RNAcentral